CGCGUAUGUUACUCUUUCGCUGUUCUGCCAGCACAUGAGUCUCUUGUUUUAACUUCUUUUAUCACUUUGGUAAUACCUGUUCCUCUGAUAUGGCAUAGGUACAACUUGGCGAGGGCAUCUUUGUGAGCUCCGACACAUGGACACACCUGAUGCAGCAGCCAGCAGACGCUCGCAGCGUCUCGCUGUUGCACUGUGGGGAAACGAGACACUUGCACAACGCAGUGUCACAGGGAAGCAAUCCAAUAAAGAUGUUUCGAAAGGAAAGACAGCAGUCUACCCACAGUUGUCACCAGUAAAGGUGACCUGCAUGUCAUCUGCCUUUUGGCAUUACCUGCUGUCAAAGGGGUGCAGCACAGAAGAAGCACCAAAGCGGCACAAACAACUGGUACGCUACCUUGCACAGAAGUGUGCGGAUCUCCGACGUUAAAAUGGUAAAGAAGCUACUCCUGAAUGAAGAUCCUGGAGCUGAAGGAUAAUAAAGCAUAGCAGAACGGCAUACCAAAACUCGUUUUUGUGUCUGCUCUGCCGCGUACGCUGUGCAUGA
Long non-coding RNA from Ornithodoros turicata, 544 nucleotides. RefSeq lists it as uncharacterized. The transcript has 3 exons. The record is from RefSeq and is a predicted model, not a curated record. Lineage: Eukaryota; Metazoa; Arthropoda; Arachnida; Ixodida; Argasidae.